AGUGAACGCUGGCGGUAGGCCUAACACAUGCAAGUCGAACGGCAGCACAGUAAGAGCUUGCUCUUACGGGUGGCGAGUGGCGGACGGGUGAGGAAUACAUCGGAAUCUACUUUUUCGUGGGGGAUAACGUAGGGAAACUUACGCUAAUACCGCAUACGACCUACGGGUGAAAGCAUGGGAUCUUCUGACCUUGCGCGAUUGAAUGAGCCGAUGUCGGAUUAGCUAGUUGGCGGGGUAAAGGCCCACCAAGGCGACGAUCCGUAGCUGGUCUGAGAGGAUGAUCAGCCACACUGGAACUGAGACACGGUCAAGACUCCUACGAGAGGCAGCAGUGGGGAAUAUUGGACAAUGGGCGCAAGCCUGAUCCAGCAAUACCGCGUGGGUGAAGAAGGCCUUCGGGUUGUAAAGCCCUUUUGUUGGGAAAGAAAAGCAGCAGGUUAAUACCCCGCUGUUAUGACGGUACCCAAAGAAUAAGCACCGGCUAACUUCGUG
RNAcentral lists this ribosomal RNA (492 nucleotides) under uncultured bacterium. RNAcentral describes it as "partial 16S ribosomal RNA". It matches the Rfam family "Bacterial small subunit ribosomal RNA", at positions 29 to 507 of the family's 1533-position model. The record is from RNAcentral.